AACGAACGCUGGCGGCAUGCCUAACACAUGCAAGUCGAACGAGACCUUCGGGCCUAGUGGCGCACGGGUGCGUAACGCGUGGGAACCUGCCCGUAGGUUCGGAAUAACUCCCCGAAAGGGGUGCUAAUACCGGAUAAUGUCUUAGGACCAAAGAUUUAUCGCCUUUGGAUGGGCCCGGGUUGGAUUAGCUAGUUGGUAGGGUAAAAGCCUACCAAGGCGACGAUCCAUAGCUGGUCUGAGAGGAUGAUCAGACAGACUGGGACUGAGACACGGCCCAGACUCGUACGGGAGGAAGCAGUGGGGAAUAUUGGACAAUGGGCGAAAGACUGAUCCAGCAAUGCCGCGUGAGUGAUGAAGGCCGUAGGGUUGUAAAGCUCUUUUACCCGGGAUGAUAAUGACAGUACCGGGAGAAUAAGCUCCGGCUAACUCCGUG
RNAcentral lists this ribosomal RNA (433 nucleotides) under uncultured bacterium. Its description in RNAcentral is "partial 16S ribosomal RNA". It matches the Rfam family "Bacterial small subunit ribosomal RNA", at positions 29 to 507 of the family's 1533-position model. The record is from RNAcentral.